RNAcentral lists this non-coding RNA (115 nucleotides) under Novipirellula maiorica. Its description in RNAcentral is "Rhodopirellula maiorica c-di-GMP sequence". It matches the Rfam family "c-di-GMP-I-GGC riboswitch aptamer". The record is from RNAcentral. Lineage: Bacteria; Pseudomonadati; Planctomycetota; Planctomycetia; Pirellulales; Pirellulaceae. RNAcentral also lists the same sequence under 1 other name.
CGUGACAAAGGCAAACCGUUCGAGAGGACGGGGCGCAAAACCACGGGUCCGUGAGUGGUACGGUGGAUCGAUUUCCGAUCCAAAGUAUUGCUUCAGGAUUGCCAGGUUGCCACGG